GAUGAACGCUGGCGGCGUGCCUAAUACAUGCAAGUCGAGCGAACAGACGAGGAGCUUGCUCCUCUGACGUUAGCGGCGGACGGGUGAGUAACACGUGGAUAACCUACCUAUAAGACUGGGAUAACUUCGGGAAACCGGAGCUAAUACCGGAUAAUAUAUUGAACCGCAUGGUUCAAUAGUGAAAGACGGUUUUGCUGUCACUUAUAGAUGGAUCCGCGCCGCAUUAGCUAGUUGGUACGGUAACGGCUUACCAAGGCAACGAUGCGUAGCCGACCUGAGAGGGUGAUCGGCCACACUGGAACUGAGACACGGUCCAGACUCCUACGGGAGGCAGCAGUAGGGAAUCUUCCGCAAUGGGCGAAAGCCUGACGGAGCAACGCCGCGUGAAUGAUGAAGGUCUUCGGAUCGUAAAACUCUGUUAUUAGGGAAGAACAAAUGUGUAAGUAACUAUGCACGUCUUGACGGUACCUAAUCAGAAAGCCACGGCUAACUACGUG
This 497-nucleotide ribosomal RNA is filed under the name uncultured bacterium. Its description in RNAcentral is "partial 16S ribosomal RNA". It matches the Rfam family "Bacterial small subunit ribosomal RNA", at positions 28 to 507 of the family's 1533-position model. The record is from RNAcentral.